RNAcentral lists this long non-coding RNA (262 nucleotides) under Haliotis rubra (blacklip abalone). Its description in RNAcentral is "uncharacterized LOC124274818, transcript variant X2". The record is from RNAcentral. Lineage: Eukaryota; Metazoa; Mollusca; Gastropoda; Lepetellida; Haliotidae.
CUUUAAAUGCUUUAUGCUAAACGGUUCAAUUUAUAACUUGUGAUAAUGCGGAACAUUGUUAUUUUCAUUGCAGCAAGGGCGAAAACGAGACAAGCAUUCCAGGAUAUACAAACACAUGAUGGAUUUAUGGAGGAAUACAUCAAAUAAUCCAGGAGCUGUGAAUUAUAAAUAUGGAUGACUGCAAAAGCAAAGAAGAAGAUAAUGAAACAAACUGAAAAAGUGUACACGUUUCCUGAAUUAUUAAUAAAUUUGCUGAUUACAA